This 520-nucleotide unclassified non-coding RNA is filed under the name uncultured Entrophospora. Its description in RNAcentral is "SSU rRNA". It matches the Rfam family "Eukaryotic small subunit ribosomal RNA", at positions 569 to 1080 of the family's 1831-position model. Lineage: Eukaryota; Fungi; Glomeromycota; Glomeromycetes; Entrophosporales; Entrophosporaceae. The record is from RNAcentral.
AGCAGCCGCGGUAAUUCCAGCUCCAACAGCGUAUAUUAAAGUUGUUGCAGUUAAAAAGCUCGUAGUUGAAUUGAGGGAUUGACGUGACGGUCGUGCCUUACGGGGUAUGAAUGAACUGUUGCUGUUGAUUUUUCUCACCUUCUGGAGAAACUUGAUGUCCUUAAUUGGGUGUCUUGCGGAUCCAGGACCUUUACCUUGAAAAAAUUAGAGUGUUUAAAGCAGGCAUUUUGCUCGAAUACAUUAGCAUGGGAUAAUAGAAUAGGACGGCAUGGUUCUAUUUUGUUGGUUUCUAGGAUCACCGUAAUGAUUAAUAGGGAUAGUUGGGGGCAUUAGUAUUCAAUUGUCAGAGGCGAAAUACUUGGAUUUGUUGAAGACUAAUUACUGCGAAAGCAUUUGCCAAGGAUGUUUUCAUUAAUCAAGAACGAAAGUUAGGGGAUCGAAGACGAUCAGAUACCGUCGUAGUCUUAACCAAUAAACUAUGCCGACUAGGAAUCAGACGAUGUUAAUUUUUUAAUGAUUC